RNAcentral lists this long non-coding RNA (270 nucleotides) under Oryza sativa (Asian cultivated rice). Its description in RNAcentral is "long non-coding RNA (OSAT_LNC000677)". The record is from RNAcentral. Lineage: Eukaryota; Viridiplantae; Streptophyta; Magnoliopsida; Poales; Poaceae.
UUUAAGAUCAUUCACGCACGAGUUCCCAAAGCAAACAGGUGAUGCUUGAGCUGAGAAAAGCUUGACGUCCUGUGAUUGUAAAAUUUGACCAUAGAAGGCCAGGCAGAGAACCUAAGCAAGCCAGCCAAUGCAAAAUGGUUUACAGAUUAAGCUUUCAACACCGCCUUAUGGAUCAUCGUCUCCUUGUGUAUUUGGUGACAGCUCUUCUCAACAAGAUCGAGGAGUUUCUCGAGGUUCGCCGCCCAGGAAUUGAGUAUACCAUUACUGUCU